UAGGGAAUCUUCGGCAAUGGACGAAAGUCUGACCGAGCAACGCCGCGUGAGUGAAGAAGGUUUUCGGAUCGUAAAACUCUGUUGUUAGAGAAGAACAAGGACGUUAGUAACUGAACGUCCCCUGACGGUAUCUAACCAGAAAGCCACGGCUAACUACGUGCCAGCAGCCGCGGUAAUUCGUAGGUGGCAAGCGUUGUCCGGAGUUAUUGGGCGUAAAGCGAGCGCAGGCGGUUUCUUAAGUCUGAUGUGAAAGCCCCCGGCUCAACCGGGGAGGGUCAUUGGAAACUGGGAGACUUGAGUGCAGAAGAGGGGAGUGGAAUUCCAUGUGUAGCGGUGAAAUGCGUAGAUAUAUGGAGGAACACCAGUGGCGAAGGCGGCUCUCUGGUCUGUAACUGACGCUGAGGCUAGAAAGCGUGGGGAGCAAACAGG
Molecule: ribosomal RNA, 429 nt
Filed under: Chloroflexota bacterium
Lineage: Bacteria; Bacillati; Chloroflexota
Description: Chloroflexi bacterium partial 16S ribosomal RNA
Rfam family: Bacterial small subunit ribosomal RNA
Source: RNAcentral